Cyanistes caeruleus (blue tit) is the source of this 2186-nucleotide long non-coding RNA. Lineage: Eukaryota; Metazoa; Chordata; Aves; Passeriformes; Paridae. The record is from Ensembl.
AAUAUUUUCUGUUUGUAUUAUGCUUCCUCCCAAUUUGUCUGUCAGGUUCCUUCUCAAAUAAUGGAAACCAGCCAUCUUGUUCUCUGUUAACUCUCUUUCCACAUCUGUCAUGAAUUCCACAUUUUUUUUCAAGGUUCCUGCUUCAUAUUGAUGUUGAUAUGUUCACCAAAAAAAUCAGGAUACUGGGAGCAGGAUGGAGAUAGUGAGUUUGUACUGAAACAUUUUUAAUGGCUCCCACUGUGUAUAUGUGAUUAUAUAAAUUAUUGCCUCAGUGGGAAUUAGAGAACACGGCAGGUAAAAAAGCUGUUAGAAGUCAAACCAGACUGCUCUGGACAGAUUUCAAGCACAAGAUGCUUUAUGGCAACAGGCCAGAGGGUAAUCCUGCCAUAGGGUGCUGUGGCCAGGCUACAAACCAUGACUUCUCCAUCCUUAACAGCCCCAUCACUUCAGACAAAGCUGAGCACUCUGCCACUGAUGGGCCCCUGUGAAGGAUGGGAUUUACCUUUAUAUGGACUGAGCUGCAGCUAUUGCUGCAAUGCAGCUUCCUGGAGAGAGAAAUAGGAUUACACAAUCAGAGUGUGCUGGUGGAGGUAGGAAAGCAGAGGAUGAGCUGGGCUCGGAUGAACUCCACACUCCUUGUUUGCAGGGUGGUUUUAUCAGGUAAUGGAUCUACAGGGGAGCAGAUCUUUGUUUGUUCUGUGGUUUGGGCACUGGGUGUUGGAAGGGGCUGCUGGAAUGUGAUGCUUCUGCCUUGGCUGUUGUGAAAAGCAGCUGAAGCAGAACACAGGAAGAGCUGGUUAGUGUUAAAAAGGGAGGGAGUAGAGGCAAGUGGAGACAAUGACAAGCAGUGCUAGGGGCUGGAUUCAUGUCAUAGGGCCUUUGACUAGGAAGGUCUUUACCCAUUGCAGCAACAAUCUGUGCACUGCAGUAACUGUCACUGACAAAUCUUGUGCUUUUCUUCUUUCAAUAAUGAAAUUCAAAUGCCAUUUCCUUUUAGAAAGAAGACACUGCUUGCCUAAUUUCUCAUCAGUAUUUUUUUUAUCUUGGCCAAGAAGGUGAAUGGAAAACACCUCUUGUUUCUGAUGCAGGCUGUAGAAUUCCUGCUGUUCGUUUAUUCAUUCAAAUUGGACCAUUACCUGAUUGUGCAUCAGUUUAUUGGAGUUUGUUGUUUUCCUUGUAGAUUUUGGUGUAGUGGGAGGCUUGGUUCAAUCAAAAUGGUAAGACUGGCUAUGACCGUGGGUUCCAUGGGUAGGUGAUGUUUCAAUGGGGAGUCAAGCAUGGUGGCUCCUCAGGGUGGACUUCUUGUUCCUCACACUGCUUGAUAGUUUCCUUUCACUGCUUUGCUCUGAGCUGAACCUGUGACUCCACUGGAGACCAAGAAGGGUUUGGUGAUUUUUCUUCCCCAAAUUAGGAAUCUCUCUGUUGUGGAUGGAAGCAGGUGGCUUCCAUCAGAAAAGAUAGGGUUCUUCAGAAAAGAAGCUCAGAAGGUGCUACUACCCAGCAAACCCAAGGCUGAUUGCAUUAUUUUGGGAUGCAGCACUUGCAUAAAGUUGUUUUUUUUUUUUCCCCAGAAAAUAUACAGAGAAAAUGAGUUCCAGAGUGUUCUGAUAAAUGAUAGGAAAUGGCUCACAGUUUCACUUUUGUUGUUCAAAACAGAAAAGAGAGGAGAAAGGAGCUGUUUGUUAUAUCAGGUCAAAAUCCACAUGCACCCUUGCAUAACUGGUCCUCUGCUCUGGCUGGUGAGCAAGAUUAGCAGGCUUGCAGCCACAUUCCUCUCAUCUCUUGCGAAACUCCAGCCUGUGAAUAUCUUUUAUUUAUUGUCACUAGUUAACAGCAAAGAGGGAAAAGGGACAGCUUAAGAUGAUAUUGACACUAACAAAGCACAUGAUGUAUUUUCUGUGAAGAAUUACCUGAUUACUGAUAAAUCCUGCAAUUGCAUCCAUCUGGUGAAAGCCCUGACUUUAUGAAGGAGAAGGGAAAUUUGCUGUUCUUUUCCUGAGCUUCUGUGACAGUGCCCUCUUGAGAGAGGUUAAGUACCGGUGAGGGCAGCACUCUGAAGAGAACCACUCGCUGUCCCAUUGUGCUAAUGCUGCUUACUUUUAUAAGCCACCCUUAGGAAGAUAAACAUCUCCCACAGAAGGUUUUUGUUAAAUAAAUAAACAAGAUGUUUAACCUAACUACUAGCU